RNAcentral lists this ribosomal RNA (301 nucleotides) under uncultured bacterium. RNAcentral's name for it is "partial 16S ribosomal RNA". It matches the Rfam family "Bacterial small subunit ribosomal RNA", at positions 509 to 809 of the family's 1533-position model. The record is from RNAcentral.
CAGCAGCCGCGGGAAUACGAAGGGUGCAAGCGUUAAUCGGAAUUACUGGGCGUAAAGCGUGCGUAGGCGGUUUGUUAAGUCUGUUGUGAAAUCCCCGGGCUCAACCUGGGAAUGGCAAUGGAUACUGGCAAGCUAGAGUGUGUCAGAGGAUGGUGGAAUUCCCGGUGUAGCGGUGAAAUGCGUAGAGAUCGGGAGGAACAUCAGUGGCGAAGGCGGCCAUCUGGGACAACACUGACGCUGAGGCACGAAAGCGUGGGGAGCAAACAGGAUUAGAUACCCGCGUAGUCCCUGUCUCUUAUAA